GUAGGGAAUAUUGGACAAUGGGCGAAAGCCUGAUCCAGCAACGCCGCGUGUGCGAUGACGGCCUUCGGGUUGUAAAGCACUUUUAGAGGAGAUGAGAAAGGACAGUAUCCUCUGAAUAAGCCUCGGCGAACUACGUGCCAGCAGCCGCGGUAAAACGUAGGAGGCUAGCGUUAUCCGGAUUUAUUGGGCGUAAAGCGCGUGCAGGCGGUUUAUCAAGUUGGAUGUGAAAGCUCCUGGCUUAACUGGGAGAGGUCGUUCAAAACUAAUAGGCUGGAGAAUGGGAGAGGGAGGUGGAAUUGCGGGUGUAGUGGUGACAUGCGUAGAUAUCCAGAGGAACACUAGUGGCGAAAGCGGCAGCCUGGGCCAUUUCUGACGCUAAGACGCGAAAG
This 389-nucleotide ribosomal RNA is filed under the name uncultured bacterium. RNAcentral describes it as "bacterial SSU rRNA". It matches the Rfam family "Bacterial small subunit ribosomal RNA", at positions 354 to 759 of the family's 1533-position model. The record is from RNAcentral.